UACGAAGGGUGCAAGCGUUGUUCGGAAUUACUGGGCGUAAAGGGUGUGUAGGCGGUUAUGUAAGAUAGCGGUGAAAUGCCGGGGCUUAACCUCGGAACUGCCGUUGUUACUACGUGACUAGAAUGACAGAGAGGAUAUUGGAAUACCCAGUGUAGAGGUGAAAUUCGUAGAUAUUGGGUAGAACACCGGUGGCGAAGGCGAGUAUCUGGCUGUAAAUUGACGCUGAGGCACGAAAGCAUGGGGAUCAAAC
This 250-nucleotide ribosomal RNA is filed under the name uncultured prokaryote. RNAcentral describes it as "partial 16S ribosomal RNA". It matches the Rfam family "Bacterial small subunit ribosomal RNA", at positions 524 to 773 of the family's 1533-position model. The record is from RNAcentral.